RNAcentral lists this ribosomal RNA (497 nucleotides) under uncultured bacterium. Its description in RNAcentral is "partial 16S ribosomal RNA". It matches the Rfam family "Bacterial small subunit ribosomal RNA", at positions 28 to 507 of the family's 1533-position model. The record is from RNAcentral.
GACGAACGCUGGCGGCGUGCCUAAUACAUGCAAGUCGAGCGAACAGACGAGGAUCUUGCUCCUCUGACGUUAGCGGCGGACGGGUGAGUAACACGUGGAUAACCUACCUAUAAUACUGGUAUAACUUCGGGAAACCGGAGCUAAUACCGGAUAAUAUAUUGAACCGCAUUGUUCAAUAGUAAAAGACGGCUGUGCUGUCACUUAUAGAUGGAUCUGCGCCUCAUUAGCUAGUUGGUAAGGUAAAGGGUUAUCAAGGCGACUAUGCGUAGCCGACCUGAGAGGGGGGUAGGCCACCCUGGAACGGAGACGCGGACCAGACUCCUACGGGAGGCAGCAGAAGGGAAUCUUCCGCAGUGGGGGAAAACAUGACGCAGCAACGCGGCGUGUGUGGUGAAAGUGUUCGGAUCGUAAAACUGUGUUAUUAGGGAAGAACAAAUGUGGAAGGAACUGUGCACGUCUUGACGGUAACUAGUAAGAAAGCCACGGCUAACUACGUG